GAUGAACGCUAGCUACAGGCUUAACACAUGCAAGUCGAGGGGUAACGAGAGGAAAGCUUGCUUUCCUUGUCGACGACCGGCGCACGGGUGAGUAACGCGUAUCCAACCUGCCCCCAACUAGGGAAUAACCUUGCGAAAGUAAGACUAAUACCCUAUAAUUUCCUCAGAUGUCAUCUGACGAGGAAUAAAGAUUUAUCGGUUGUGGAUGGGGAUGCGUCUGAUUAGCUUGUUGGCGGGGUAACGGCCCACCAAGGCAACGAUCAGUAGGGGUUCUGAGAGGAAGGUCCCCCGCAUUGGAACUGAGACACGGUCCAAACUACUACGGGAGGCAGCAGUGAGGAAUAUUGGUCAAUGGGCGGAAGCCUGAACCAGCCAAGUAGCGUGCAGGAUGACGGCCCUAUGGGUUGUAAACUGCUUUUAUACAGGAAUAAAGUUAGCCACGUGUGGUUAUUUGUAGGUACUGUAUGAAUAAGGACCGGCUAAUUCCGUGCCAGCAGCCGCUGUAA
This 506-nucleotide ribosomal RNA is filed under the name uncultured bacterium. RNAcentral describes it as "partial 16S ribosomal RNA". It matches the Rfam family "Bacterial small subunit ribosomal RNA", at positions 28 to 523 of the family's 1533-position model. The record is from RNAcentral.